This 114-nucleotide non-coding RNA is filed under the name chicken gut metagenome. RNAcentral's name for it is "FMN riboswitch (RFN element)". It matches the Rfam family "FMN riboswitch aptamer (RFN element)". Rfam says of the family: The RFN element is a highly conserved domain that is found frequently in the 5'-untranslated regions of prokaryotic mRNAs that encode for flavin mononucleotide (FMN) biosynthesis and transport proteins. This element is a metabolite-dependent riboswitch that directly binds FMN in the absence of proteins. The record is from RNAcentral.
GUCUUCGGGGCAGGGUGAAAUUCCCGACCGGCGGUAAAGUCCGCGAACCUCGGUUUACCGGGGCCGAAUCGGUGCGAUUCCGAUACCGACAGUACAGUCUGGAUGGAAGGAGAC